This 921-nucleotide ribosomal RNA is filed under the name bacterium enrichment culture clone AOM-SR-B61. RNAcentral's name for it is "bacterial SSU rRNA". It matches the Rfam family "Bacterial small subunit ribosomal RNA", at positions 8 to 936 of the family's 1533-position model. The record is from RNAcentral.
AGAGUUUGAUCCUGGCUCAGGACGAACGCUGGCGGCGUGCCUAACACAUGCAAGUCGAGCGGAGAACAUCAGAUGUUUACAUCGAAGUGUUCUUAGCGGCGGACGGGUGAGUAACACGUGGGUAACCUGCCUCGAAGUGGGGGAUAGCCUUUCGAAAGGAAGAUUAAUACCGCAUAAGCUUGUAGCAUCGCAUGGUGCAGCAAGAAAAGGAGCAAUCCGCUUCGAGAUGGACCCGCGGCGCAUUAGCUAGUUGGUGAGGUAACGGCUCACCAAGGCCACGAUGCGUAGCCGACCUGAGAGGGUGAUCGGCCACAUUGGAACUGAGACACGGUCCAGACUCCUACGGGGGGCAGCAGUGGGGAAUAUUGCACAAUGGGCGGAAGCCUGAUGCAGCAACGCCGCGUGAGUGAUGAAGGCCCUCGGGUCGUAAAGCUCUUUGAUCAGGGAUGAUAAUGACAGUACCUGAAAAACAAGCCACGGCUAACUACGUGCCAGCAGCCGCGGUAAUACGUAGGUGGCGAGCGUUGUCCGGAAUUACUGGGCGUAAAGGAUGCGUAGGUGGAUAUUUAAGUGGGAUGUGAAAUCCCCGGGCUCAACCCGGGAACUGCAUUCCAAACUGGAUGUCUAGAGUGCAGGAGAGGAAAGCGGAAUUCCUAGUGUAGCGGUGAAAUGCGUAGAUAUUAGGAGGAACACCAGUGGCGAAGGCGGCUUUCUGGACUGUAACUGACACUGAGGCAUGAAAGCGUGGGUAGCAAACAGGAUUAGAUACCCUGGUAGUCCACGCCGUAAACGAUGGGUACUAGGUGUAGGAGGUAUCGACCCCUUCUGUGCCGUCGUUAACACAAUAAGUACCCCGCCUGGGGAGUACGGUCGCAAGACUAAAACUCAAAGGAAUUGACGGGGGCCCGCACAAGCAGCGGA